UCCACGCCGUAAACGAUGAGAACUAGACGUUGGGGGGAAAUUGCUCCUUAGUGUCGCAGCUAACACAAUAAGUUCUCCGCCUGGGGAGUACGGUCGCAAGAUUAAAACUCAAAGGAAUUGACGGGGGCCCGCACAAGCGGUGGAGCAUGUGGUUUAAUUCGAUGCAACGCGAAGAACCUUACCUGCCCUUGACAUCCUCGGAAUCUUACAGAGAUGUGGGAGUGCCUUCGGGA
Molecule: ribosomal RNA, 233 nt
Filed under: uncultured bacterium
Lineage: Bacteria
Description: partial 16S ribosomal RNA
Rfam family: Bacterial small subunit ribosomal RNA
Source: RNAcentral